This 468-nucleotide ribosomal RNA is filed under the name uncultured bacterium. RNAcentral describes it as "partial 16S ribosomal RNA". It matches the Rfam family "Bacterial small subunit ribosomal RNA", at positions 28 to 507 of the family's 1533-position model. The record is from RNAcentral.
GACGAACGCUGGCGGCGUGCUUAACACAUGCAAGUCGAACGGAAAGGCCCUGCUUUUGUGGGGUGCUCGAGUGGCGAACGGGUGAGUAACACGCGAGUAACCUGCCCCUGACUUUGGGAUAACUUCAGGAAACUGGGGCUAAUACCGGAUAGGAGCUCCUGCUGCAUGUUGUUGGUUGGAAAGUUUCGGCGGUUGGGGAUGGACUCGCGGGUUAUCAGCUUGUUUGUGUGGUAGUUGCUUACCAAGGCUUUGACGGCUAGCCGGCCUGGGAGGGUGGACGGCGACAUUGGGACUGAGGUACGGAGCAGACUCGUACGGGCGGCAGUGGGGGGGAAUAUGACAGAGUGGGCGGAAGCGUGAUGCAGCAACGCCGCGUGCGGGAUGACGGCCUUCGGGUUGUAAACCGAUGUGGAAUGUGACGUGGCGUGAGUGACGGUAAUGGGUAAAGAAGCAACGGCUAACUACGUG